GGUAGAAAUGGAUUAAAAUGGAUUUAAGUUUGCCUGCAUUAAAGUCCCCUGCCAAUUGGAGCGUCGCUUCUGGAUGAGCCUUUUUUUGUUUGCUUUUGGCCUUAUACAGCUUGUUGAGUGCGGUCUUAGUGCCAGCAUCAGUUUGUGGUGGUAAAUAGACAGGUACGAAUAAUAUAGAAGAGAACUCUCUCGGUAGAUAGUGUGGCCUACAGUUAGAGAGGGAGAUAUAAGACUCCAGCUUCAGUGAUUUUUGCAAUUCGUUCCAAUCAUUGGCAGCAGAGAACUGGAAGGAAAGGCGGCCAAAGGAAGUGUUGGCUUUGAGGAUGACCAGAAAAAGCACAGUGAGUCGCUGCCCCUGUAUAAACAGGCUAUGAGAGUGUAUGAGGACAGUCUGGGAUGCUCACACCCACAGGUCAGAGAAACACUGAAGAACCUAGCUGUACUCAGCUAUGUGGAGGAAAGCAGCAGAGCUCAACAAUCCAUGGAGAUCAAAUAGGCGGAGCAGUCUCUGGUUUGUGGAAGGCCCAUGUCGACACUCGUCCAGUGGGGAUGGGCCUUUAGCCUGCGAGGGCCCACACCUCUCCCACAUGCCCGCAGGUGACCCCUCUCUAUUCCGCCCCUUCCAAGAACACAGGUGGUGGAUCUCAUUUUGCCUUUCAUUCAUCCUGUGUGUCCAUUUCCUCGUCUCCUUCUAGAAAUGCAUUGGUGGAGAAGGUCAGUGGGAGGGACCUUGCAUCUUCUCCUCGAAUGCAUUUUCAGGAGGUGGAAAGGAUAGAGGACAUGAAGAAUCAAGGAAGUACAAUUGAAGGCCAUCCAUGGUUCGCAAUCUGCUUUCCUGAGAAGAACAACGUCCAUCACACUGAAUAGUUUGUUAUGCUGCUUUGAGAUGGAACAGUGUAGUGGUGUCGCCUGUCAAGAGUACUGUAACUAACUUCUGAAAUAAAUUAUGUUUUAAUGUCUGUUCAAUGGCUAUAUUGUUAAGUGUUCAAAAAAUAAAUAUAUAUUAUAAAUGUAAUCAUGAUGUAACAUCUGCUUCCAGCUCACACUCUCAAACACAUAGAUACCCUGAAUGCAGCUCACUCUCCAGAUCCCAAUCACCGGAAUUCUGAUCACCUGUUCACACACCUGUAUGUCAUUAUCACACACUAUUUAGUUCAGUUCUUUGCACCCAAUCAUUGUAGGUAUUGUUUGUUUUGUGACACACUUCUAGCCGGAGCGCUGGUUUUCCUGUAAUAUACGCCUCCCCUGUACUUUCCUGUUAUCAACCUAUUGCCUGAUCUUCUGGAUGAUGUUAAUAGCUUUUUCCCUGCCUGUACUGUUGCCUUUUUGGACCCCCUGUGUUUGACCUGCUUGACCCUGGACUCAGCUACCUGCCUCCUCCUGUGGUCCUUUACAAUAAAUACCUGCUGCGCCCUGUGCUUGAAACCAGCUCUCUCUCUCUCCCAUCGUGUUUAUUACACAUUAAAUUACGUCAACACCAGGUUAUGAAGGUUUUUUAUUGCAUAUUCAAACGUUUCCAAAUUACCACUGCUCUGUCUUCUGUCAAAAUUAAAUUUCAAUUGUAUAAUGAUAAAUCAAUAUCACCAUCGACUGCAAGUCCUCUGGCUGAGUGUCUGCUAAAUUAC
Oncorhynchus tshawytscha (Chinook salmon) is the source of this 1625-nucleotide long non-coding RNA. The record is from Ensembl. Lineage: Eukaryota; Metazoa; Chordata; Actinopteri; Salmoniformes; Salmonidae.